UGGGGAAUAUUGGACAAUGGGGGCAACCCUGAUCCAGCCAUGCCGCGUGUGUGAAGAAGGCCUUCGGGUUGUAAAGCACUUUCAGUAGGGAGGAAAGCUCGGUUGCUAAUAUCGGCCGGGAUUGACGUUACCUACAGAAGCAGCACCGGCUAACUUCGUGCCAGCAGCCGCGGUAAUACGAAGGGUGCAAGCGUUAAUCGGAAUUACUGGGCGUAAAGCGCGCGUAGGCGGUUUGGUAAGUGUGAUGUGAAAGCCCCGGGCUCAACCUGGGAAUUGCCUCACAUACUGCCAGGCUAGAGUACGGUAGAGGGGGGUAGAAUUCCACGUGUAGCGGUGAAAUGCGUAGAGAUGUGGAGGAAUACCAGUGGCGAAGGCGGCCCCCUGGAUCGAUACUGACGCUGAGGUGCGAAAGCGUGGGGAGCAAACAGG
This 429-nucleotide ribosomal RNA is filed under the name uncultured bacterium. RNAcentral's name for it is "bacterial SSU rRNA". It matches the Rfam family "Bacterial small subunit ribosomal RNA", at positions 355 to 776 of the family's 1533-position model. The record is from RNAcentral.